This 1018-nucleotide long non-coding RNA is filed under the name Ananas comosus (pineapple). RNAcentral's name for it is "long non-coding RNA (ACOM_LNC003752)". Lineage: Eukaryota; Viridiplantae; Streptophyta; Magnoliopsida; Poales; Bromeliaceae. The record is from RNAcentral.
UGCAGUUUGCAGAUUUUUGAUUCUUUUGCUCUCGAAACCUCCCACAAUGCACUUUUACUCAUUUUAACGCCUUCGGUAUUUCCAAAGCGUACCAACCUCGCACUUUGGUCAAUUUGACUAAAGUUCGAUAUUUGUUCACCGAAGUUUCGGUAUAUUACAUUAAACCUUCUCUUCAGCUCACAACAUCAAAGCAGCCAUCUCCAUUAACUUCUCCUUCAACACUAACCUCUGUAGAGAGAGAAGAAGAAGAAACGAAAGAAAAGAGCGAAGGAAUUAAUCCCCUGUACAUAGGGAAGUUGCUAAGGUGUUGGGAGUUAGAGAUAAGCACAAACAAUUGGUAAAAAACCCCCUCACAAAAGCUGGGGCCAGCAGUCCUAAAAUGGUCCCUACAGUUUUUCUUUUAGUGCAGAAUCUGCACUAGGCAACAGCAGCAGUAGCAAUAGCAGCAGCAGCUGCAAUCAGCAGUAGCAGCAGUAUUCAGCAGCUAUUGCACUUAAACCCCCCAAAAAAUAGGAAUUCUGCUUUUACAAAACAGCCCCUGUAGCUUUUACAAAACAGUCCCUGCAGCUUUUUUGCACAAAUCUGCACUGGUAGCACUUGUUUCCAAGGUAAUUUCGCACUUCCACUUCGUUCCGAACCCCCUUAAACUCUUCUAAACUUGUAAUUAGCUACCCCCACACGACCAAUUUAGCUUAGGGACUAACUAAUUUAUAUUUUAGCAUUACUUUGAUCAAUUUGAUCAAAGUUAGCCUUACUUUCGGAACUUCUCUUUCGAUUUCGUUUCGCGCCUGAUUUGCACCGAAACACUCAAAUACCUCCAAAAGUCAUUCCCACGCAUCCAAAAUUACUCGGGAAUAAUGCACAUCCAACUCAAACGUUUCUUUGAUCACCUAAAUUACAGUUGGCAUCGCAACCCGAAAUUUUCGGUACAUUACAUUGCCUCUACAGAGCAGAAUACCGGUACUACAUCGGGCCCGUACCGGUACUAGACCUGGUACCGGUACUGCAUCAGGCUGUU